GAGCCACCCAACUACCAACUCCCAAAGUAGAGGAAAAAAACACUCCCGCCCUUCUCUCACCGUCGUCAGUAGACUCAGUACCACAGAUGACUAUGGUUCUAAGCCAUUGGAGUGGUGGUGCUAUGCGUCAUCCUUCCCGAUUUUCAAGCUGUUUUCAUGGGAUAAAUAAAGUGCCUACCAACAGGAUUAUGAGUAGUUCUACCCCUGAGGAUAUUACACAAGACACUGCUACUCUAUCAAAGACCAACAGAAUUAGCAGCUUACAAAUAAAAAGUUUCGCAAGUUUGGCUGCAGGGGCAAACUUGGUCACAGCAGACGCAGCAAAGGCCUUGCCCAUGAACAACGUGAUGGAAGGAGCAGCAUUUUUCCCAACUUUGGCUGAUACUGGCCUUGGAGAUUGGUUUGGAGGUUUCUUGUAUUCAUCUGGACAGCAGGCUAAUGAAGCUGUUCAGGACCAGCUGUCAGCACUCAGUGUUACCAGUUUAGUGGUUAUCUUUGGGGCAGGGCUUGUCACCAGCCUAUCCCCUUGUACAUUAAGUGUAUUACCACUUACCCUUGGUUACAUCGGAGCAUUUGGCUCUGGGAAAAGCCGAGCUGAGAUUGUUGGGGAUUCAGUUGCAUUCUCAUUGGGAUUGGCAACAACGUUAGCGAUCUUAGGAAUAACUGCCUCUUUCGCUGGAAAGGCUUAUGGACAGAUUGGGCAGGGGCUACCUGUGGCUGCCUCUGGCUUGGCUGUCAUCAUGGGCUUGAAUCUUCUGGAGAUUAUUGAAAUACAGCUUCCUUCAUUAUUCAACAAUUUUGACCCCCGUGCUGCUGCAGCUAACUUCCCUUCAAGUGUGCAAGCUUACUUGGCUGGGCUUACAUUUGCCUUAGCUGCUUCUCCCUGUAGUACACCUGUGCUGGCCACCCUGCUUGGAUAUGUGGCUUCAACCAAGGAUCCAGUUAUAGGCGGCAGCAUACUUCUUACAUACACAACUGGCUAUGUUGCUCCUCUACUCCUGGCUGCUUCUUUUGCAGGCGCCUUGCAGAGCCUGCUUUCAUUUCGCAAGUUUUCAGCAUGGAUUAAUCCAAUGAGCGGUGCACUCCUAUUAGGUGGAGGUGUAUAUACUCUGUUGGAUAGGCUCUUUCCUCUUACCACAAUGGCAAUGUAGCAACACACUAUGAACAGAAAAAAGCAGCAAUUAUAACAUGGGAAGAUAGUAGCAGAAGGUAUGCAAAUAUUGCAGUCUGGGCUAUUUGGCACAAGAAUUUGCAAACCCCACAAGCCCAUCAGGUCCAAAGCUCAAAGUUCGUUGAUAUGAGAGGAUCUAAUGAUGGAUAUCAGCCAAUGUCUGUUAGCCAACUGGAGUGCAAACAUGGUCCAUUUCAUUUUGUAAGUAUACAGGGCAAGCAUAGAAUGGGCAUUACACUCCCAGGCCCAGCCUAUUUCUCUCACAUAGCUCAGGCUAUGGAACAGUCGUAUCAUCAAAUGGUUCAGUGAUGCAGUUAAGGUGGAGCAAACCCUAACCUAUCCAUCAAAUGUUUCAUUUAGACUUAAUUAAGUUUAUUUUAGUUCCUUUUAGUUUA
Molecule: RNA transcript, 1566 nt
Organism: Macadamia integrifolia
Lineage: Eukaryota; Viridiplantae; Streptophyta; Magnoliopsida; Proteales; Proteaceae
Gene name: cytochrome c-type biogenesis ccda-like chloroplastic protein
Exons: 13
Source: RefSeq, a predicted model, not a curated record